GAGGAUGCGAGCGUUAUCCGGAUUUAUUGGGUUUAAAGGGUGCGUAGGCGGUGGAUUAAGUCAGUGGUAAAAGACCGGGGCUCAACCCCGGCAAGCCGUUGAAACUGGUCUGCUGGAGUUGGAGAGAAGUAUGCGGAAUGCGCGGUGUAGCGGUGAAAUGCAUAGAUAUCGCGCAGAACUCCGAUUGCGAAGGCAGCAUACCGGCUCCAUACUGACGCUGAGGCACGAAAGCGUGGGUAUCGAAC
RNAcentral lists this ribosomal RNA (245 nucleotides) under uncultured bacterium. RNAcentral describes it as "partial 16S ribosomal RNA". It matches the Rfam family "Bacterial small subunit ribosomal RNA", at positions 528 to 773 of the family's 1533-position model. The record is from RNAcentral.